UACGAAGGGGGCUAGCGUUGCUCGGAAUCAUUGGGCGUAAAGCGCACGUAGGCGGACUGCUAAGUCAGGGGUGAAAUCCUGGAGCUCAACUCCAGAACUGCCUUUGAUACUGGCGAUCUUGAGUCCGGGAGAGGUGAGUGGAACUGCGAGUGUAGAGGUGAAAUUCGUAGAUAUUCGCAAGAACACCAGUGGCGAAGGCGGCUCACUGGCCCGGUACUGACGCUGAGGUGCGAAAGCGUGGGGAGCAAACAGG
RNAcentral lists this ribosomal RNA (253 nucleotides) under uncultured bacterium. Its description in RNAcentral is "partial 16S ribosomal RNA". It matches the Rfam family "Bacterial small subunit ribosomal RNA", at positions 524 to 776 of the family's 1533-position model. The record is from RNAcentral.